UGUACAGCAGUCAGUAAACACCUUAUUAUAUAAAGGAACAAUAAUAGAAAAAUUCAGACAAGCAAGAAAGACACACACACACAUUUUGAGUAGAUAAUAUACAUAUAAUGGAAAUGAACAUUCAGCAAAGAAGACAAACUAUUGAAAAAUAAAUGGAAAAAAAAAUUAAAUGAAAAAAAGAAAUCGCAAGAGAGAUUACAGGUGUGAGGGUGGACCAUUGUGUUCCCCUUAUUCCCCACUCCUACGUCCAAACUGUUGCGUCACUCCGGCCACCAAAGCGCCGUCAACAGCACGCGCCGGCACAAUCGGCGCAUGCGCAGUGAAAGCUCCGGUGACUACCCUCGGGGAGGGUGGCGGGUGGAAGCGUGCUAUAAAGAAAGUUCCUGACGCGAGGGACGUGGCUGACAAAUGCGCGGGAACGAACGCAAGACGAAUAUAAAGGAUGCCAUUCUGAAAUUCUAACUGCAAGUGGAAAAUCGUCACACGAGGAGGACACGCACGUGAACUUACUGACUGUCCACACUAGACUCCCGCCACGUCAUCCACCGACCGCACGAGCAGGAAACAGCAAAAGUUCAGGAAAGAACUCGAAAAAACAGACAACAACGUGAUCUUUGUGGAGGGCACGUAAAGAAGCUUCUGGUUCAGCGUCUGAGACAAGAGAUCAUCACCAAGGCACAGCGCCGUGGACAACGCCGAGCAAAGCAGCGAUUACAACACAGGGCAACAACAUUUGACAAAUUCAGCUCUGACAACUUUAACAUCUAUAUCAGUACAGCUUCUACAUUUACAGCAAAACAGUCUACAUCUACAGCAGAACAGCUUCUACCUAUAUAGUUACUGACAACUUUAAUAUACAACAGCUUUUGUCAGUUUUAACAGAAUAACAUUUGACAGCUGCAGUGGAACCUGAUCUGAACAGGGUUAGUGAAAGAACAACUUCAGGCAAGGCAGUUGGACAUCGUAAGUCAUAAGUGGUACCGCAUUUGACAACUCUGAACAACACCUGCAAAACUGGAACGAGGAUUUUUGAGGGCACACAUCACCUUUCUUCGAGUCGUGAAACAGCGAAAUAAUGGAGUGUUUGCGGCGCCUGUCGUCUGUGACUCUGGUGGUCCUGGGUCUUGCAGUCCUGUGUCUUCUUGCAUCAUCUAGCGAGCAUUCUUAAUAUCAAGGAUCGAAUUACUGGACGGAGAAGGGGAAGGAGUGGAGAAGCGAAGCAGCAGAGACCUGGCCUUCUUCCAGAUGUAUCGACUGUGUGACAGGGACCGUAACGGCCACUUCACGCACUCGGAGCUGUCGUGUCUCAACCAGAUGCUGCACAUGAUCCUUCUCGGCGUACGUAGCUGACGCUCGUCGGGCCAGAUGCAGCACGGGAAGGGGUUAGGGUAGGGCGAGGCACAAUGAGGUGGAUGGCCGUGGUCGGAAGUGACGUGGCACGCAUAAAUAACAGGAAGUGAUGAAAAUAGGGUGUUGUGCAAAUCCCGCUACAAACAUUGAAACACGGAUUCAUGUCUGUUCUUUGGAGACAGGCAGUCCAUAGCAAGUCAAUGGACUCGCAAGAUCAACUGCAAAACCCGAGAGUAACCUAGAGAUCGACCUGAAAAUAGUUUGAGACCUCUUUUGCUUAGAAACCUGAUUAGACUGCUGUUUGUCAAAGGAAUCGUUAAUUACGCUAAUAUAAAAUAAAUAUUAAAUAAUUUUUUGUCAGUGAUAGCUGCGCUUUUUAACACUCAAACGUUCCAUAAUUAACAUCAAAGAUUGAGUCGCCCAAUACUUGUGUUCCUUGAGAAUCAAUUGAAUUGAAAAUUUCUAUAUCAGCACCAGUAUUCCUGUCAAAAUAUUGUUCACAUGCUAUUUUUCAACUCUCAUUCUUAAGCACCAUUAGUCAACAUAUGAAAUUCAUAAGUUAUAUUUACUUCCAUCGAUGCGCAGAAUGGAAAGAACUGAAUGAGACGAUCUGAAAAGAAGAAGAAGACGACACGGCCACACGGUCUGAUAAGGAUCACUGCUGUAAAUGUUGCAUCCCAUGAGAUGUUGUGUGAGGGCAACGGGGAAAUAAAGGACUGUAUGUCUAUCCUCUUCAAAUGUUUUGUGAUGGUGUGCAUGACAGUUUGUGUUUGUCCUAGGUGUGUUUGGCAGCCUGGCUGGUGUGCAGGUACAGAAUGUUGGCAGUCUGGCAGUGACUGUAGCUUCGAUCUGCCUCCUCACAUCGUGACAUUGUCUGAGAAUUCUAGCAGAAGUACAGCCAUUAUUUUUGGAGGAUUAUAUUUUUUAAGAUCGACCUCGACCACUAAAU
Long non-coding RNA from Pomacea canaliculata, 2299 nucleotides. RefSeq lists it as uncharacterized. Lineage: Eukaryota; Metazoa; Mollusca; Gastropoda; Architaenioglossa; Ampullariidae. The transcript is spliced from 4 exons. The record is from RefSeq and is a predicted model, not a curated record.